UACAUGGGGUGCAAACGUUGCUCGGAAUCAUUGGGCGUAAAGCGCGCGUAGGCGGUUACUUAAGUUGGAUGUGAAAGCCCUCGGCUUAACUGAGGAAGUGCACCCAAAACUGAGUAGCUUGAGUACUAAAGAGGGUCGCGGAAUUCCCGGUGUAGAGGUGAAAUUCGUAGAUAUUCGCAAGAACACCAGUGGCGAAGGCGGCUCACUGGCCCGGUACUGACGCUGAGGUGCGAAAGCGUGGGGAGCAAACAGG
RNAcentral lists this ribosomal RNA (253 nucleotides) under uncultured bacterium. RNAcentral's name for it is "partial 16S ribosomal RNA". It matches the Rfam family "Bacterial small subunit ribosomal RNA", at positions 524 to 776 of the family's 1533-position model. The record is from RNAcentral.